AACGUAGGAGGCAAGCGUUAUCCGGAUUUACUGGGCGUAAAGCGCACGCAGGCGGCUGCGUAAGUCGGACGUGAAAGCUCCUGGCUCAACUGGGAGAGGUCGUUCGAAACUGCGCGGCUUGAGGUUGGAAGAGGAGAGCGGAAUUCCCGGUGUAGUGGUGGAAUGCGUAGAUAUCGGGAGGAACACCAGUGGCGAAAGCGGCUCUCUGGUCCACACCUGACGCUCAGGUGCGAAAGCGUGGGUAGCGAACGGGAUUAGAUACCCCGGUAGUCCACGCUGUAAACGAUGCGAACUAGGUGUUGGUAGUAUUAAACCUAUCAGUGCCGAAGCUAACGCGAUAAGUUCGCCGCCUGGGGACUACGGCCGCAAGGCUAAA
RNAcentral lists this ribosomal RNA (376 nucleotides) under uncultured bacterium. RNAcentral's name for it is "bacterial SSU rRNA". It matches the Rfam family "Bacterial small subunit ribosomal RNA", at positions 524 to 898 of the family's 1533-position model. The record is from RNAcentral.